UACGUAGGGUGCGAGCGUUAAUCGGAAUUACUGGGCGUAAAGCGUGCGCAGGCGGCGCGUUAAGACAGGUGUGAAAGCCCCGAGCUUAACUUGGGAAUUGCGCUUGUGACUGGCGUGCUGGAGUGUGGCAGAGGGAGGUGGAAGUUCCGACGUGUAGCAGUGAAAUGCGUAGAGAUGUGGAGGAAUACCGAUGGCGAAGGCAGCCCCCUGGGAUAACACUGACGCUCAUGCACGAAAGCGUGGGGAGCAAACAGG
Molecule: ribosomal RNA, 255 nt
Filed under: uncultured bacterium
Lineage: Bacteria
Description: partial 16S ribosomal RNA
Rfam family: Bacterial small subunit ribosomal RNA
Source: RNAcentral